This is a non-coding RNA of Vicia faba (fava bean), 255 nucleotides long. Lineage: Eukaryota; Viridiplantae; Streptophyta; Magnoliopsida; Fabales; Fabaceae. The record is from the annotation of a GenBank genome assembly.
AUGGUGCGAAUAGGGGAGAGGAGGAUGAAAGACUAUUUUGCUGGAGGUGUCGAAUUCUUUUUGAAAAUUUGUACAGAAUGCAAUAAGUGGUGGUGGCGGUUCACCUGUUAUUGCUGCUCGGUGACUUGCAACAAAGGAGCUAUUGCAGUUAGGCAGCCUUAUAUUAGGGUUGUUGGAAUAAAAGAUGCAAAUGAAGCCAAGUCUCGAGGUCCCACUAUGUUUAUGACGAAAGAAGUUAGUGUUGACCAACUAUAA